This 324-nucleotide ribosomal RNA is filed under the name uncultured Clostridium sp. Its description in RNAcentral is "bacterial SSU rRNA". It matches the Rfam family "Bacterial small subunit ribosomal RNA", at positions 355 to 695 of the family's 1533-position model. Lineage: Bacteria; Bacillati; Bacillota; Clostridia; Eubacteriales; Clostridiaceae. The record is from RNAcentral.
UGGGGAAUAUUGCACAAUGGGGGGAAACCCUGAUGCAGCAACGCCGCGUGAGUGAAGAAGUAUUUCGGUAUGUAAAGCUCUAUCAGCAGGAAAGAAAAUGACGGUACCUGACUAAGAAGCCCCGGCUAACUACGUGCCAGCAGCCGCGGUAAUACGUAGGGGGCAAGCGUUAUCCGGAUUUACUGGGUGUAAAGGGAGCGUAGACGGUUUUGCAAGUCUGAAGUGAAAGCCCGGGGCUUAACCCCGGGACUGCUUUGGAAACUGUAGGACUAGAGUGCAGGAGAGGUAAGUGGAAUUCCUAGUGUAGCGGUGAAAUGCGUAGAU